GCUGCUGUUGAGCUGCUGAACUAAACGGCGCUCCAGGAACUCGAUGCACUGCUCACACAGCGUGGGGUGGAUCAGCCUCUCCACCGCCUGAGAGAGGGAGGAGAUGGCAUGUGAGCCUGGUGACGGAGGGCCCCGCUGAGGGUGACCAUGCCAAACCGGACCUCGAUCAUCUUCUUCAUCACAUAGAUCUUCCUCCUCAGAUCGUCCUCCUUCUCCUCACCGUCUCCAUUCACAGCAAUGUAGAGGCACUCAUCGAACUGAGGACACAAAAAGAGUGAAUAAAUUAGUAUUGCCUCCAGCACAUGAAUAAAACGGAGAAUAUAGUGAAAAUUAAA
Long non-coding RNA from Acanthochromis polyacanthus (spiny chromis), 335 nucleotides. RefSeq lists it as uncharacterized. Lineage: Eukaryota; Metazoa; Chordata; Actinopteri; Pomacentridae. The record is from RefSeq and is a predicted model, not a curated record. The transcript has 2 exons.